This 2037-nucleotide long non-coding RNA is filed under the name Salmo salar (Atlantic salmon). RNAcentral describes it as "lncRNA (ENSSSAG00000087858.1)". The record is from RNAcentral. Lineage: Eukaryota; Metazoa; Chordata; Actinopteri; Salmoniformes; Salmonidae.
GUGUAUGUGUGUGCGACCAGAGCUCAAAGUGGAGUGAUAAGGCUGGUGAAAACAGAACACAUGAGAACACAGCUGGACUAGCUGGGAUCAUGUUUUACUCUAUCCCCUCUACACAAGCACUCUAAAACAAAAGAUUCAUUGGAGCAACAAAGAGUGAAAUGAAUGGAUUUGACUGUGAUUAAUAGCUCACACACACACACACACACACACACACACACACACACACACACACACACACACACACACACACACACACACACACACACACACACACACACACACACACACACACACUCUCUCUCUCUCUCGUACCCCCCUGAAGGUAUAAUUGUGAAGCUGCAUUGAUGUGCUCUGUUAAUUGGCAAUAAAAUUAUAAGUGGAAAGCACAGGGAGCCUGUGGGGUCCACACAAUUACCCAGAUACACAGAGUGUGUGUGUGCGCGUAAAUAUAGAUCUUUUUUAGAGAGGUAGGGGUGUAGCUGUUCCAGUGUUCUGCACCAUGGGAAUUGUGUUUUAGGCUAGAGCCACAUCUGUUUGUAUCCUACCCUCCUACCCCUAUACUGUUUGGGGUUCCAUUUUGGGCCCUCAUUGCCCAAAAUGAAAACUAGGCCCAAUGAGAGAUUACUAGGAAAUAGUUUUUUGUGCGUGUGUGCAUGCUUGUUUGCACUCAUGUAUGUAUGGUGUGUGUGUGUGCACGUGGGAAUGUUGAGUAUGUGGGUGUGUACAGUGUGUGUGGUGUGUGUGUGCACGUGGGUGUGUACAGUAUGUGUGGUGUGUGGGUGCACGUGGGUGUGUACAGUAUGUGUGGGUGCAUGUGGGUGUGUACAGUCUGUGGUGUGUGGGUGCACGUGGGUGUGUACAGUAUGUGUGGGUGCACGUGGGUGUGUACAGUAUGUGUGGUGUGUGGGUGUGUACAGUAUGUGUGGUGUGUGGGUGUGUACAGUAUGUGUGGUGUGUGGUGUGUAUGGGUGUGUACAGUAUGUGUGGUGUGUGGGUGUGUACAGUAUGUGUGGUGUGUGUGUACUGUAUGGGUGUGUACAGUAUGUGUGGUGUGUGGGUGUGUACAGUAUGUGUGGUGUGUGGGUGUGUACAGUGUGUGUGGUGUAUGGGUGUGUACAGUAUUUGUGGGUGUGUACAGUAUGUGUGGUGUAUGGGUGUGUACAGUAUGUGUGGGUGUGUACAGUAUGUGUGGUGUGUGUACAGUAUGUGUGUGUACAGUAUGUGUGGUGUAUGGGUGUGUACAGUAUGUGUGGUGUGUGGGUGUGUACAGUAUGUGUGGUGUAUGGGUGUGUACAGUAUGUGUGGUGUGUGGGUGUGUACAGUAUGUGUUGUGUGUGUGUGCAUGUGGGUGUGUACAGUAUGUGUGGUGUAUGGGUGUGUACAGUAUGUGUGGUGUAUGGGUGUGUACAGUAUGUGUGGUGUGUGGGUGUGUACAGUAUGUGUGGUGUGUGGGUGUGUACAGUAUGGGUGUGUACAGUAUGUGUGGUGUGUGGGUGUGUACAGUAUGGGUGUGUACAGUAUGUGUGGUGUGUGGGUGUAUACAGUAUGGGUGUGUACAGUAUGUGUGGUGUGUAUGGGUGUGUACAGUAUGUGUGGUGUGUGGGUGUGUACAGUAUGUGUGGGUGUGUACAGUAUGGGUGUGUACAGUAUGUGUGGUGUAUGGGUGUGUACAGUAUGUGUGGUGUAUGGGUGUGUACAGUAUGUGUGGUGUGUGGGUGUGUACAGUAUGUGUGGUGUGUGGGUGUGUACAGUAUGGGUGUGUACAGUAUGUGUGGUGUGUGGGUGUGUGUCUAUAGCCUCCUCUGCUGUGUUGUAGAAUAUUAAUGUCCUCUGCACACUCACGUCUGAAUGGCGCGCAUGCUACGAUGACUGGGGAUUUGGGAUAUAAACCAUACCAUUUAUUCCCUCUACUCUGUCUGUCUCUAUUACUCGUGUGUGUGUGUGUGUGUGUGUGUGUGUGUGUGUGUGUGUGUGUGUGUGUGUGUGUGUGUGUGUGUGUGUGUGUGUGUGUGUGUGUGUGUGUGUGUACGUCCACAG